GAUGAACGCUAGCUACAGGCUUAACACAUGCAAGUCGAGGGGUAACAAGAGAAAAGCUUGCUUUUCUUGUUGACGACCGGCGCACGGGUGAGUAACGCGUAUCCAACCUGCCCAUAACUAGGGAAUAACCUUGCGAAAGUAAGACUAAUACCCUAUAAUUUCCUUUGACGGCAUCUGACGAGGAAUAAAGAUUUAUCGGUUAUGGAUGGGGAUGCGUCUGAUUAGCUUGUUGGCGGGGUAACGGCCCACCAAGGCAACGAUCAGUAGGGGUUCUGAGAGGAAGGUCCCCCACAUUGGAACUGAGCCACGGUCCAAACUCCUACGGGAGGCAGCAGUGAGGAAUAUUGGUCAAUGGGCGGAAGCCUGAACCAGCCAAGUAGCGUGCAGGAUGACGGCCCUAUGGGUUGUAAACUGCUUUUAUACAGGAAUAAAGUUAGCCACGUGUGGUUAUUUGUAGGUACUGUAUGAAUAAGGACCGGCUAAUUCCGUGCCAGCCGCCGCAGUAA
This 506-nucleotide ribosomal RNA is filed under the name uncultured bacterium. RNAcentral describes it as "partial 16S ribosomal RNA". It matches the Rfam family "Bacterial small subunit ribosomal RNA", at positions 28 to 523 of the family's 1533-position model. The record is from RNAcentral.